AUGCCACCUUCCGUGCACGACACGGAAGGCCUGCCGUUCAUGAAGCAUGGUUGUGUCUUCCAUGCGCACCGCCGGAUGAAUGACAUGCUGGGAUACGCUAUCCCUGAUUUAUGCCGCUUCAGAUUGGAUGAGUCUCCAUCGUGUGGAACCGGACUAGAAAGCUGCGACAAUGAUUCCUAUUGCCCACCGCUAUGGAUCGUGCCAUCCAUGAAGAACACCUGGGACUGGAACCUGGAGGAGGACAUCACACGCAAAUGUGUUGGCCUUCAUGAUUCCAGGACCUGGAAUCAUACCGGCCGAUGGGUGGUGUACCAUAUAACUGGAAUUAACCCAUGCAAGUCGAAGAAGGAUAGGCCGGUGCUGCCGGCUGGCGUCAAGUUCGAUCCCACGGAUCAGGAGAUGAUCGAGCACCUUGAGGCCAAAGUGAGUGCUGACAGCGUGAGAUCUCACCCUCUCAUCGAUUUGUUCAUACCAACCAUCGACAGCAAGCACGACAUAUGCUACACACAUCCUGAGAAACUUCAUGGUAUCACACUGAGUGGCCUAAGCAAGCAUUUCUUCCAGCGCAAUUCCAGGGCAUUCAAAAGGGGCACGUGGACGCGUCGCAAGAUACAGUCCGAGUGCGGCAUGCACGCGAUGUGGCACAACACCGGCAAUACCUUGCCGGUGAUGGUCAACGGCCGGAUGACGGGCAGCAAAAAGGUUCUGGUUCUGCACACCAACAAGAACUUCGACCAGCAGAGGACCAGUUGGGUGAUGCACCAGUACCACCUCGGGGACCUGGAGCAAGAGAAGGAGCGGGAGCAGGUCCUCUACAAGAUUUUCUACCAGACGAACACUAGGGCCAAGAGUAAGAAGAUUAUAAGUUAG
This 870-nucleotide ribosomal RNA is filed under the name Triticum aestivum (bread wheat). RNAcentral describes it as "partial small subunit ribosomal RNA". The record is from RNAcentral. Lineage: Eukaryota; Viridiplantae; Streptophyta; Magnoliopsida; Poales; Poaceae.